This is a long non-coding RNA of Heterocephalus glaber (naked mole-rat), 660 nucleotides long. The record is from Ensembl. Lineage: Eukaryota; Metazoa; Chordata; Mammalia; Rodentia; Bathyergidae.
GUGUGGCUCUUAAACCAAUGGUCCUCUAGAUAUGUUUCAUCCCUUCUUGGCCAAUAUCCCCAAAGGUCCAAACAUGUCUUGAAAUCAAAAUGUUCCCUUUCUGAUAAAAAUGUUUUCAUCAAAGAGUAAAAAGUUCAUACUCAAAGAUUCCAUUUUUGCUACACCCAAAGAUACAAGCUAAAAUCAUGGAAAGACAAAACAAGCGUGACAUUUCAAACUGUGUCCAUGGGAACAAGAGCAGGACAUGGAGUGACACUAUGGGGAUCUGAAAUCUCACUGAACAUUCAGCUCUCUGAACUCUUCAGGGCCUCACUCCAUAAUACCAUAUAACACCCCUCAGAGGGACACGAAAAGGUAAUGAUGACAGGAAGUGAUGAGAGAAAAGAAGUUGGAUGGUUCAAGAAAACAGACAUGCUCAAGAACUUGGUUCACUCACUCUCCGAUGCUUGGGUCCUGAUUACACAGUUGGAGGGCCAGUUUAUCACUAAGGUCCUUCAGCGUCUCUUACCUCACCCAAAGAGGGAAAGAGAUACAAUCAAAAUGAUAGUCCACUUACAUUAUAAACAAGAGAAUUUAAAGAGACAUGACCCAGUUACUCACCUGUGGAGGGACAAGUUGAGAGCAGCUCAUGAGCUCUGAGUUGGUGGAUAUAUAUAACUU